Molecule: ribosomal RNA, 622 nt
Filed under: Escherichia coli
Lineage: Bacteria; Pseudomonadati; Pseudomonadota; Gammaproteobacteria; Enterobacterales; Enterobacteriaceae
Description: partial 23S ribosomal RNA
Rfam family: Bacterial large subunit ribosomal RNA
Source: RNAcentral
UGCAUGGAGCCGACCUUGAAAUACCACCCUUUAAUGUUUGAUGUUCUAACGUUGACCCGUAAUCCGGGUUGCGGACAGUGUCUGGUGGGUAGUUUGACUGGGGCGGUCUCCUCCUAAAGAGUAACGGAGGAGCACGAAGGUUGGCUAAUCCUGGUCGGACAUCAGGAGGUUAGUGCAAUGGCAUAAGCCAGCUUGACUGCGAGCGUGACGGCGCGAGCAGGUGCGAAAGCAGGUCAUAGUGAUCCGGUGGUUCUGAAUGGAAGGGCCAUCGCUCAACGGAUAAAAGGUACUCCGGGGAUAACAGGCUGAUACCGCCCAAGAGUUCAUAUCGACGGCGGUGUUUGGCACCUCGAUGUCGGCUCAUCACAUCCUGGGGCUGAAGUAGGUCCCAAGGGUAUGGCUGUUCGCCAUUUAAAGUGGUACGCGAGCUGGGUUUAGAACGUCGUGAGACAGUUCGGUCCCUAUCUGCCGUGGGCGCUGGAGAACUGAGGGGGGCUGCUCCUAGUACGAGAGGACCGGAGUGGACGCAUCACUGGUGUUCGGGUUGUCAUGCCAAUGGCACUGCCCGGUAGCUAAAUGCGGAAGAGAUAAGUGCUGAAAGCAUCUAAGCACGAAACUUGCC